Molecule: transfer RNA, 86 nt
Organism: Punctularia strigosozonata HHB-11173 SS5
Lineage: Eukaryota; Fungi; Basidiomycota; Agaricomycetes; Corticiales; Punctulariaceae
Rfam family: tRNA
About the family: Transfer RNA (tRNA) molecules are approximately 80 nucleotides in length. Their secondary structure includes four short double-helical elements and three loops (D, anti-codon, and T loops).
Source: Rfam
GGCCAUAUAGUGUAGCGGUUUAGCACUCGGGAUUUUGAGUAUGAUCGCUUGUUCCCGCAACCCAGGUUCGAACCCUGGUAUGGCCU